GGACCAAGGAGUCUAGCAUGUGCGCGAGUCAUUGGGACAAUUGAAACCUAAAGGCGAAAUGAAAGUGAAGGCCCGUCCAGCACGGGCCGAGGGAAGAUGGGUGGCUCGCAGAGGCCGCCUCGCAUUCCCGGGGCGUCUCGUUCUCAUCGCGAGAAGAGGCGCACCAAGAGCGUACACGCUGGGACCCGAAAGAUGGUGAACUAUGCCUGGUCAGGACGAAGUCAGGGGAAACCCUGAUGGAGGUCCGUAGCGAUUCUGACGUGCAAAUCGAUCGUCGGAACUGGGUAUAGGGGCGAAAGACUAAUCGAACCAUCUAGUAGCUGGUUCCCUCCGAAGUUUCCCUCAGGAUAGCUGGCGCUCGUUGCGUACGAGUCUCAUCCGGUAAAGCGAAUGAUUAGAGGCAUUGGGGUCGAAACGGCCUCAACCUAUUCUCAAACUUUAAAUGGGUGAGAUCUCCGGCUUGCUCGAACUGUUGAAGCCGCGAGAGACGGAUCAGAGUGCCAAGUGGGCCAUUUUUGGUAAGCAGAACUGGCGCUGUGGGAUGAACCAAACGCAGAGUUAAAGCGCCUAAAUCGACGCUUAUGGGAUACCAUGAAAGGCGUUGGUAACUUAAGACAGCAGGACGGUGGCCAUGGAAGUCGGA
RNAcentral lists this ribosomal RNA (643 nucleotides) under Biphyllus lunatus. RNAcentral describes it as "eukaryotic LSU rRNA". It matches the Rfam family "Eukaryotic large subunit ribosomal RNA", at positions 663 to 1265 of the family's 3401-position model. The record is from RNAcentral. Lineage: Eukaryota; Metazoa; Arthropoda; Insecta; Coleoptera; Biphyllidae.